CAGUUUUUUCUAUGUCAUUUCGGAUUGUGGAACAAAUUCUUGCAUACCACUUCUCAGAAAGGAAUGCAUCUGGAUGUACACCAUCAUAAAAGUUGAUGUCCCUGAUGUCUUGUUCCAGAGAAUGUUGCUGGAACUGGGAGUUUUCGAAAGAAAAUUGACUUGUUUGCAGGUUACCUUUCCUGAACUGAAAAUCUUUAAAAUUAUGAACUGAAACAGGAGGGAUGGUGGAAAAUUGUACAGAAGUGCCAGAUGAUUGGAAGAUUGCAGAUACCAGCCAUGAAAACAAUGCGACAUGGUGAGGAGUCGGGCGUGGAUUUUUUAAAUGACAGAACCUCGUCUUUUAAUUUAUCUAAAGAUGCUCCAGGCCUGCACAGAACGGUGGUUUUCCAGUGGCGAGGAAAAGGAUCAUAUUUUCGUAGCAUAAAAAGGGAAAGGUUUUUGAUGUCAAAUGGCAGUAAACAAGAAAUAUGGCAUGGUCUCCAAUAUGUACUAGCAAAUAGGUUGUUCCAUUGAAAUUGCUGCAACCACUGGGCCUGACAAAGAGUUGCUUUGUACUCACGAAGACAUGAAAGGACAUCUUUUAAUUCUUUUUCGUGCUCCCCUUGCCGAAUGAUUUUCUUUAAAAAAACAGCAGUUUUGAAUUCUUGCCAAACUAAAACACCAUGCAUAGAAGCUGGGGAUUUACCCUUCGAAUAAUUUACAGGGGAAUCUAAGACUGGUGGAAGUUGUACAUCAUCUCCAAAAAAAACUACAACGGGAAUACCACCCCAUGUCUGGUCUGAUAUACCAGUGCCACAUCUGCAAUGAAAAUCCAUCCAUCCAAGUGUAGUUGAUCCAAUUAAAGAUCGUUCAUCAACAAGAAUGGCAUGAAUUCCAGAGCAGUUAACUUGCAGAUCCUCCCCUAACGACCCAUCUGGUGCCUUCAUUUCUCCUCCUCUCUGAAGGUACUCCAAUCAUGGUCAGGACCUCCAUCAUCAAAAGUAAAAUUUUGAUGCAAGUCAUCAAAGUUUGGAUUUGGACGAAGAACUUCCAUCCAUUCUGGUUGGACCACAUUGUCAUCUGAACAAUCUUCUUCUUGUGAGCAAUUAUUGCUGAAGUACUCUACAACCAGAUAAACUCACAUAUUGAAAAGAGUGACUUGAACGGAACAGGGGUAUUGAGGAUAGCUCAAAACAGGCUUCAACAGAAGAAACGUCUCUCUUAACAGUAUUCAUAAGAAGUUUAGUACAGAGUGAUUUCGGUGUUUCACCUGAGGAUUCAUCAGAAUUGUUCACCAUGUCAGAAAAAAGAUCAGAAAGAGCACCAGUUGGUUCGUUCAGUUGGUUGGUUCGUUCCCUUUGCAGGCAUACCCUGUUAUAUAUUUUUCUGUGGCAAGAAUUUCGUCUACAGAUGGAUUAGAUGGAUCGCUUUUAGAAAGAAUUAAUGAAAUGUCGCCAUUGGCUCUCCAGCUUUGUGUAUGAAAUUUGGAAUGUUGCACAAGAACUGGAUGAUCUCUCUCCAUUUCAAGUCGCAGAGACCCAUUCCUGUCUUUAACCAAAGCUGGGGUGGAUCGUAGCUGUUUCGGAAAUUCCAUUCUACAUUUUUCUCCAGAUGCAUUGAAUUUUGAAGGUUUCAUGCAAUAAUCUGAACAACGGUGUAAAUUAAAACGGUUGGAUAGAAGUAAAUGAUCC
Saccostrea cuccullata (small rock oyster) is the source of this 1670-nucleotide long non-coding RNA. RefSeq lists it as uncharacterized. The transcript has 7 exons. The record is from RefSeq and is a predicted model, not a curated record. NCBI's taxonomy places the organism in Eukaryota, Metazoa, Mollusca, Bivalvia, Ostreida, Ostreidae.